RNAcentral lists this ribosomal RNA (240 nucleotides) under uncultured bacterium. RNAcentral's name for it is "partial 16S ribosomal RNA". It matches the Rfam family "Bacterial small subunit ribosomal RNA", at positions 791 to 1035 of the family's 1533-position model. The record is from RNAcentral.
UAGUCCGCACGGUAAACGAUGGAUGCUCGCUAUCGGCGCUUGGCGUCGGUGGCAACGCGAAAGCUUUAAGCAUCCCACCUGGGGAGUACGCCGGCAACGGUGAAACUCAAAGGAAUUGACGGGGGCCCGCACAAGCGGAGGAACAUGUGGUUUAAUUCGAUGAUACGCGAGGAACCUUACCCGGGCUUGAAUCGCGGAAGAUUUAUCCGGAGACGGGUAUUCCCCUCGGGGCUUCCGCGA